AUUGAACGCUGGCGGAAUGCUUUACACAUGCAAGUCGAACGGCAGCACGGGGGCAACCCUGGUGGCGAGUGGCGAACGGGUGAGUAAUACAUCGGAACGUGCCCAGUCGUGGGGGAUAACGUAGCGAAAGCUACGCUAAUACCGCAUACGAUCUACGGAUGAAAGCGGGGGAUCGCAAGACCUCGCGCGAUUGGAGCGGCCGAUGGCAGAUUAGGUAGUUGGUGGGGUAAAGGCUCACCAAGCCUUCGAUCUGUAGCUGGUCUGAGAGGACGACCAGCCACACUGGGACUGAGACACGGCCCAGACUCCUACGGGAGGCAGCAGUGGGGAAUUUUGGACAAUGGGCGAAAGCCUGAUCCAGCCAUUCCGCGUGCAGGAUGAAGGCCCUCGGGUUGUAAACUGCUUUUGUACGGAACGAAACGGCCUUUUCUAAUACAGAGGGCUAAUGACGGUACCGUAAGAAUAAGCACCGGCUAACUACGUG
This 484-nucleotide ribosomal RNA is filed under the name uncultured bacterium. RNAcentral's name for it is "bacterial SSU rRNA". It matches the Rfam family "Bacterial small subunit ribosomal RNA", at positions 30 to 507 of the family's 1533-position model. The record is from RNAcentral.